This 6855-nucleotide long non-coding RNA is filed under the name Sus scrofa (pig). Its description in RNAcentral is "lncRNA (ENSSSCG00065076163.1)". The record is from RNAcentral. Lineage: Eukaryota; Metazoa; Chordata; Mammalia; Artiodactyla; Suidae.
UUUUUUUUUUUUUAAUUUAGAGAAGUAUUUAUUUUAGAUGGGUUUUGUAUUGCUAUAUUCUUUUAGCCUUUUUUUGGUUGGAAAAAUUUUUUAUUUCCCCUUCUAUUCUAAAUGAUAUUCUUGCUGGCUAGAGUAUUCUAGGUUGCAUAUUUUUUCCUUUCAGUGCUUUAAAUAUCUCUUGCCAUUCCCUCCUGGCCUGUAGAGUUUCUGUAGAGAAAUCAGCUGAUAGCCUUAUGGGGGUUCCCUUAUAAAUGACACUUUGCUUUUCUCUUGUUGCCUUUAGGAUCCUCUCUUUAUCAUUAAUUUUUACCAUUUUUAUUAUAACAUGUCUUGGUGUGGGUCUAUUCGGUUCAACUUCUUUGGGAACCUCUGUGCUUCCUUUAUCUUGAAUCAGUAUCCUUUAAAUUUGGAAAAUUCUCAGUGAUAAUUUCUUCAAAUAUAUUUCAUCUCCUUUUCUUUUUCUUCUCCUUCCAGAAUUCCUAUUAUGUGUAGAUUGGCCCACUUUAUAUUAUCCCAUAGGUCUCUCAUAUUGCUUUCAUGUUUUUUCAGUUGGUUUGGGUGAUUUCCCAACUUAUUCUAUCUUCCACGUCACUAAUUUGUUCCUCUGCAUUAUUCAUUUUGGUUUUAACUACCCUUAGCUCCGUUUGUAUCUUUGCAAAUGAAUUUUCUAGUUUUUCUUGGCUCCUCCUUAUAUUUUCUAGUUCCUUUCUGAGGGAGUCUGCAUUACUGUUCAUAUUUUCUCUUAAUUCCUUCAGUAUUUUCACUAUCUCCCUUUUCUCCCUUUUGAACUCCAAGUCUGUCAGACUGCAGAGUUGUUUCAUUGUUGACUGCUUUAGGGGAGUUCUCCUGUUGGUUUAACUGGGAAUGGUUUCUGAGCUUCUUUAUCUUGCUUGUGUUUUUCUUUUUCAUGGUGGAGGUGCACUCCCCGUGGCCAGGCAGGGCUUGCCCUGGUGCUCCUGGGCUGUGGAGCUCUUCCUGAGGGCUGAUGGUGCUGGGCGGCUUGCUCCGUGGGAGUGCAGCACUUCCUGAGGGCCAGUGGGGCUAACCGGCUGGCUCUGAGGCAAAGGAGUGCUUCUCGAGGGACUGGCAGGUGCACUGCAGUGUAAGCACACUAUCUGUGGCCCGGCAGGGCUUGCCCUGGUACUCCUGGGCUGUGGAGCUCUUCCCGAGGGCGAGCGGUGAUGCAGCUUGCUCCGCAGGAGUGGGGCGCUUCCUGUGUGCAGGCCAUCUGACUGGGGAAAGCGGCAGUGGUGUAUGGCUUCCUGAGGGUAAUAAGGCCAGUCCACUGGGAUGGCAGGCAGCUUCUGACCAGGUGCUCACUGGGUGGGGGAUGGAGGAUGUGCUGGGAAGCUCUGCUCUCUACUAGCUGGCAGGCAAGCACACACGCUGGGGUGCAGGGAGUAUUCUAUGGCAGCCAGCCCCUCUUCCUCUCCCCUCCCCAACACUGAUGCCUUGUCUUACCUGUGGGUCCGAACCUUCUCUCAAGUUCCCUCUGUUGUGGCUUUCCACUCCCCAGCCCUUAGCGUAUUGCUCCCUCCGUCCCAUCACAAGGUUUCCUAAUCCCUCAGGCUGUCUCCACACUGUCAACCCCAGCCCAUUCCUAGGGACUAACCUCCAGGGCCUAGGUGUAGGUGCCCAGCCUCCAUCUGAGCAUCUAGGUUUUUGGUGUCUGUACCAGUGGUUCAGAUGAUCUGUGCGGCUCUCACUCUGCUUUUUAGAUCUCAGACCUGCUGCUCUGCUUUUCUGAGAGUCUGAGAUCCCUCCGACUGGGUAGAACUUUCUAUCCAUUAGGUGACUUUCCAGUGUGUAGGUUCCCUUUCUCUUUCACAGUUCCCUCUCAGGAGUGCCAGUCCAGUCCUGAUUCCCCUUCUCUCUCUCCUCUUUUCUCUUGUUUUACCCAGUUAUGUCAAGAGAUUCUUGCCGUUUUUGGCGGUUUAAGUUCUGCUAGCAUUCAGUUGUUGUUCUGUGUGAGUCGCUUUAUGUGUAGAUGUGUUUUUUUGUUGUGUUUGUGGGAGAGGGCGAGUGCAUCCCCCUACUCUUCCACCAUCUUUUUUCUUUCUCUUUGUUUCUUUUUAAAAUUGUGACCUAUCAAUUGGAGAUUUAUAAAUAAAUUGGAAUUAAGGAUUAACUUUAUAUUAUCAUCUUAAAACUGUAUAUACCUGUUUUAUUUUGUUUUUCUCUUGAGUAGAUGAAUUGAUAUAAUAAUACUGAUGAUAGUAAUUGCUAUUUAUUCAAUGCUUAUUAAUGUCAGAUAUUUAUUUACAAAUUCUGCAUGUUAUUGAUUUUAGUCCUCAGAAAUUUCCCAUAAGGAAGCUAAAAAUUAUUUUCCCAUUUUAUGGAUGAGAAAGUUAAAGCAAAGAAACGAUACAUUACUUCCUAAGUUGUAAAACUAUGUGGAGGAAUUACUUCAGAAUCCACAUCUUAACUACUACAGCUAAUGUUUCACUGCAUGUAUUUUAUAUAUAGUUUUUUUAUUAACAUUAUAAAAUGUAAUGGCUAACCAUUAAUAUUAUUAUAGCUGUAUGAAAUUCCAGAUAAUUUACAAAAUAUAUUGUGAAAAAAUUACAAGGGGAAAACAUCAUGCUAGCUUCACUGUGACUAUAAUUUUAAGUGUCCUCUCUCUUUGCUUGCCAUUGAGAUUCAGUAAAUUUAUAUAGCAAAGAAUAAUUGGCUCAUUAUGAUGUAAAUGACUAUGAUAGGGAAAGUCUUUUAAUUAUUUAUAAUAAAUUACUUUUGUGUUGCCGGUUUUAAAUUAGCAACAGUUUAAUUAAUGAAUUAUGUCUCUGCCUGGGUCAAGAUUCAAGCACACAGGACAGCUUACUUUAGUAAACUUAAUACCACCACUGUUUUUCUUAAAAUUGUUAAAUUUCUCAUUUCUUUGUCUUCUAUCUAUUCUUUCCAAUUACAUCAUUUGGCAUUAUCUUGUUUACCUAUCUAUCACUAUUGCCAGAAAUUCUAAAGGUCAUGCUUAACAGAUGCUCUAUGAGGUUGAGCAGUUGAUAUAUAUUAUAUUAGUAGAAUCAACUCUAAUCCUUAGAAUGAGAGUAAGUAUUCAUGACCCUAUGUUCAUUUAGCUAUUCAGUUAUUCAACAUUAAUGGAGUGCUAACACUAUGUAUUGCCAUGUCCAGUGCUGCAGGGAAACGGGGAAUCCUGGAAGAGGCACGGCAGGGUAUAACAGAACACACAAGACUCUUACAUUUAGAAAGUGGGGGACCAGGAGGCACUCUGUUCUGUAGAACAAAGGCCCCUAGGCUUUAGCCCACAUAAUUUUUAUUAAGGAAGGUGAUGAGAUUAUUAUUAAUGGGAUUAAGGAAGGUGACAAGAUUAAUGCGCAGGGACAGGCAUACGCAAUAACAAUAUUAUCUUCUUAGUAAUAUCAAAAGGGGUAUCCUUAGGACAUAGUAGUGGAACUGUUUAUAGAAUAAUAUGGUUAAUUAGUAAGUCUUUCAUCUUGGCCUUUGAAGGAGACUCUAUACUUUAGAACUCUUGAGUCCUUAGAUAUUUGCCUUCUGCAGAGUUCUGCUGUUCCAUUGUCUCCAACAGUGUGUAAUAAAGUUCUAAUUAUUAUGCCAAGUGAAACUGUGAAGAUGAUGUGGUCUCUGGGGUAACAUGUAAUCUAGUGGAGAGAAAGCUUUAUAAACAAGUAAUACCAGGUAAAAAUGAAAGUUAUGUAUUAUCAUGCUAUUACAAACAAUGUGUAAUGAGUCAGAUAUUCAAAAAACAUUUUUACUCUGAUUGGAGAAAACAUGCAAUGUCAACCAAAAGUCAGAUUCAUUGGAGAACAUCCCUCAACUGUGUGUGUCUGAGAGUGGGGUGGUGAUUCUGAAAGUAAUACCAAGAACAUAGAGGGUAUGUGACUAGGAAAAUGUGCCAUGUCAACUUCAGCUUGAAGAAUAUAUAAGAAAAUAUAUAUUAAAAGUAGAUAAUAUUUUUAUCCAUAUUUUGAAGAUUUACAUGUCCCUCAGAAGUUCAGCACUGGUUGAUAGAACUUGUAGAACUACAUUAAGUGAGGAAGAGCAGUAGCCUGGCAUGCAAUACUCCAAUAAAGUUUCUGUUUGUUAGGUAGAGUAGACAACUGAUACAAACCUCUUGAGUUGAGAAAUAUUUAAAUUGAAAGGAAGGAAGAAAAACUCUUUUUUGAGACUUAGACCUAUUCAGGCCUGUACAAAAAUUUUAUUCAAUCAGUCUGGCUUUACCUGCUUUAUAUCUAACCCACCUAUGCUUAAAGCAACAUUAUGAGGUCAUACAAGCGUGGAAAUAAUUUCUGUUGCAUUUCCCUAGGAAAUGAUAAAACUUGUUCACAAAUUCGAUAAAUCUGGCUCUAUACCCUAUACUCCUAAAUCCUAUGCUAUGAUGUCAUAGGGAAAAAAAAAAAAAAAACAGAGAAAGAAACAAGCAAACAAAAGCAAAAGUUUCUUGAUUGUCAGUUAUAUUACUUUUAGUAUUAAAACAUGUUUCAUAUUCUGUGUAUUAAUUUAAAGAGUAGGAAAUGUGGUGAUCAUAAUCUCUAUUGACUAAAAUUAGAGUGCAUGGGUGAAUUUAGGUAAAACAAGCUUUAUACAAAUACAAAUUUAGAUUGUUUCCUGUUUUUAUUUACAAAAAUAAAGCUUUCUCAUUAUAGAAAAUUUAAAAUAUCUGCGAAAGUAAAAAUAAAUAAAUAAAUAUAUUUAGCACUUCUGCAAAAUAAUUGACAAAAUAAAUCCUGAGGGUGGUUGAAUUAAACUUUGAUUUUAUUCAAUGCCUAUAUACAUACUUAAGCAUAUACACUCAUAUAUGAGAAUUCUGGGCCUUAAGUUGUGGUGACUUGCUCAUUAUCUUACAGUUCAUUUCAGAGUUAGAGUUCAAAUACUGGGUGUUUCAUCUCAAGGCCUAAGCUCCUAAUAUCUCAUGCUAUUGUGUCUUUCUUUAGCCAUUUAGUUGCAUAAAUUUGCUCAUCAUUUAACAUAUUUGUGUUCAUUAUCUCUUUUUGUUAAAGGAACACAAUAUUUACCACCUGUUUAUGGAAGUGGAAAGGUAGUCACAAAGACCAGCAUGUACAAAUAGUAAACAAAACACAAAAAUAAACUGUGAAUAUACUUUAUAAACUCAAUCGCUGUACUAAUAAAAAUGUUAUUGUAAAAAUGCAAAUAUAUUUAACAGUUCCAGAAUAUGUUACAGCAAGGGCCAGAAUGACUCUCAAAGAUGACAACCACUGCUCAUGGCAUUGCCAAAAAUUACAGACAGUUGACCUUGAAGUCAUUGAAGUCAUUGAAUGACUUGAAUAUUAAGCUUCUCAACUUUGCUGUCAGAAUUCAGCUUACUUUCUCCUCUACUAAUUGGUUUAGCAUAGGUAAAAGAGCCUAUGCAUUUAUACUUAAAUUUUGUAAGAAUUAAAUGAAAUAAAAGGUAUUAAACUUGUAUAUUCGUGGUAGUCAAUAUUUAUUUCUUAAAUGUCCUAAUGAUCUCUUUCUAAUAUUUAUAUGAAAUAUUCCUUUGAGUUACUAAAACAUUUUUCUGGCUUUAGAAAUCAAAUCUAAUUUGUGAAUGAGAAAAUUAGAUCCUGGGGGUAGUUAAAAGACUAAUUCACAAGCAUGUAUUGGAAGGAAAGUUAACUCAGAUAUCUUAAAUCCCUAUUCAUCUCUUCUUUCAGAUUUAGUUUGACUAAAUUAAAUGUGGAAUUUUUUAGUUCAUCUUUAAAUAUUAUAGAGUUUUACUUUCUCAACUUCUGCCUUAAAUAACCAAUUCCAAGGAAAAUGUAAUAAUAUUAUUAUCAUUAAUGAUUUUGAGAAUGCAGAAAUCAUAAGCACAAAAUAUCAAUAUGCUUCACAUGUUUUCUCCCUCUUUUUUAGACUGUAGUGAAACACUUCUCAUGUUUGGAGGAGACAGAAGGAGUGUUUUUCACUCCGUUGUUCUCAUAGCCACAAGAGCAUUUGUCACUUCUCAUCCUAAAGGGGCUGUCAGAGAAGACAUUGGCAGGGUGUUACAACACAGCAUCUUCUGUCAAGAGUUUUAUCUUUUCAAAUGAAAUAUGAUAGGUCUUUAUGGCACUUUUAUAACAGUCAGGUUAUUUUUGACAAUACAAUUGAAAAGUGAGUUUCCACCAUUAAACUCUAACAUGAAAGGUGCCAGCAAAGUCUGUGAUCUCUAGAAAUAUAGAGCAUCAUGUUGUAAACAAUAAUUUUCCCUACAAAUAGAAGGUGAGGCAUGAUGUAGUUCCUAUUAGGAAAGAUUCUAUCAAGGAUAGUGCCUAGGGAGGUGGGGUUAUAUUCAUCCCAUAGGGUGCACCAUGGGGAAAUUAGAAGUUACCUCUCUGGGUUCCAGCUUACCAAAAACCUCUGACACAGAUAUGCAUCCUUGACCUUGAGUUACAAUGAACAGGCUUAUAACACCUCACUCCCUCUUCCCACUGUCUACCAGCCUCAGCCAGCCUGAACUCUUGCACCUUCCCAUGCAGACACUGUAUAUCUGGAUCCCAAACCACCUGGCUGGAGAGUGGGCUCCAGCCUCUCCAAUUCUCUAAUAUAGGCAGUGUGACCAAGGGCCCAUGCUCACAAUCUUACACACAUAUAUCACUUCCAAGAAAUGAUAGAAAAUUGACCUUUCUGAGAUCUCAAUAUCAUGUUUCUAUAGCCGUAUUAACUACUCAGCAUCAAAUGGCUUCCUCAGUUUUAAUUUGGUUUAUAUAAUCCAGCUGUAAAAACUUUCAGUUGAUUAAAUACUUGAGCAUUUUUAUUCCAUCACUUAAGAUUCAAGCUUCUCUUAUGUUUAUGUUUUAUGUGUGACUUUAUCAAAUACUAUAUCUCAUAAUUUAUAUUUUUAUUGGAAAAUGAUUUAUUUAUAAAGUAACCAAUUAAUUUUAACUUAUCUUUGAUAUA